This 379-nucleotide long non-coding RNA is filed under the name Olea europaea (common olive). RNAcentral's name for it is "long non-coding RNA (OEUR_LNC013077)". The record is from RNAcentral. Lineage: Eukaryota; Viridiplantae; Streptophyta; Magnoliopsida; Lamiales; Oleaceae.
CCAAGCCGAGUUUUCUGAAAACAGAAAGAGGCAUUAGAUUAAUACUUGCACCCAAAUCACACAAAGCUUUAUCAAAAUAACAGUCUCCAAUAGUGCAGGGUACAGUAAAACUCCCUGGAUAUUUCAGUUUUGGGGGUAGCUUUCUCUGGAUUCUGGCGCUGCAUUCCUCAGUCAACAUUACUGUUUCGUGUUCUUCUAUCUUCCGCUUGUUGGAGAGGAUAUCCUUCAAGAAUUUUGCAUAGCUCAGCAUCUGGACAAGUACUUCAGCAAAUGGGAUGUUGAUAUGCAGUUUCUUGAAGACUUCAAGGAACUUACUGUAUUGCUGAUCCAUUUUGUGCUUUCUCAACCUUUGUGGAAACGGAAUAGGAGGCUCAUGAGG